Molecule: long non-coding RNA, 6749 nt
Filed under: Nicotiana benthamiana
Lineage: Eukaryota; Viridiplantae; Streptophyta; Magnoliopsida; Solanales; Solanaceae
Description: long non-coding RNA (NBEN_LNC037923)
Source: RNAcentral
UCCAAAAGGAGGAUGCCCGCUAUAGUGCUAUUCUAGGGUUGACGAGAAGUUGUAAAGUGUUAGCUCCAGCAAUACACCAAAAAUACUAUAGUACUCUAUGUUUAGUAGAACCUACAAAGUGCAAGCUAGGACUGACCAGGUUCAAUGAACCUGUAAAAGAAUAUGACUUGAAAUAAUAGCCCUCCAAUAUUCCCUUUAAUUUGCACCGUGAGAAUUUUAUAAAAGGACGCUCUGAUUGAUGAGAUGAACAAAUUCAAACACAAAGUCUUAUAUAUAUACACUCCAAUGGAGGUAACGAUUCAAUUGGUUAUUUUUAAGUCACGUAGGUUUAUUCAGUGAUUUGUAAUUUGCGGAUAUGAAAUGGCUUUUCAAUUUCGAAGGAUUCGCCAUUUUUGUGCCAUUCUUUAUUAUCAAAUUGAACUCUCAUCUUCGCCACCAAUUAAACAACUAUGAUCUAGCUCAGGUACUUUCUCCCAUCAUUUUUAGUUCGUUUGCUUUUCUUUCUCUAGACCUUGCUAUAAUGUUUCCUGAUCUCUAAUUUUUAAUCUGCAAUUUCUGCAUAUAUUGAAAAUUUUGAGAAGAAACCUGCAAGUAUAAUAAUAUUUUAUUCCGUCUUUUUCAAUUUGUGCGCCUUAUCCUCGUUGUAGUUGUAAAAAAUAGCAGAAGAAGAGUAAUAUUUGGAAAACUUCUGUUAGCCCAAUAUCGUUAAAUAAGAUUGGAGGAUUCAACUAUAAAAGAGGAAGCUUGAAAAGAGAAGAAAAGAGAAGAGGGAUUUUUGAAAGGAGAACUUUGUUAUUGAAGAAGACUUUCUUGAAUUUGGCUUCAUUACAAAUGAACAAGACUCUAAAUAUGAUUCUAGAUAAUGUACAAGGAAUAUUAUAGCUAACAUUAUCUUCUAACAACACUCUAUAGAAUAUAUAUAUAUAUAUAUAUACAUAUGUCAACUAGAUAACAUUAUUUUCCCACAAUAUUCUAGAAUAUCUAGAUGGUCUAAUAGAUAAAUAUCAAAGAUAUUAACUACACUAUGACAUUCUAGAAAAAUCUAUAUUUUUCCAAAAAAUCAUCUUUACUUUAUUUUUCUUACACUCCCCAUUGAAGUAAUUUUUUGGAAGCUACCCCAUGCUUGUCGUGGAAGAACUCAACCGAUGCUUUAGGACAUGUCUUGGUGAAGAUCUCAACACUAUUUUUCUGGCACAUCUUGCUUCCCCAAAAACUGAAGCUUCUUCAGUUGGUCCUGCAAAGACACAUGAGGAUGUGUUGAAAAAAAUUUCAAUCUCUGAAAUGAGCUAGGUUUACAAUAGUUCUUUUUGGUCUUCCUAAACUACUUGAAUCAUCUCCUUGAUGAGUUUCAUUUCUUUGAGUUCUCGGGCUCCCCUUUUCUCUUAGCUCCUCAAUAACUACAUUAUUAAAGGAAAUACAUGUGAUGGGCAAAUUUGAUGAUUCAAGGUUCAAAGGUUUAGAACCUGCCCCUUCUUCUGCAACUCCAUAAUACAAAGAGACUUCAUCAAUAUGACAUUUUUUGAAACAAUGAAGAGAUGAAUUUUAGGAUCCAUACAUUUCUAUCCCUUUUUCCUUUCAUCAUAUCUAAUAAAGAUGCCUUUUCUUUCCUUGGCAUCCAACAUGCUCCGUUUAGAAUCCGGAAUGUGAACAUAAUGGAGCCAAAAUCCCUGAGGUGUUUCAUGCUAGGCUUUUCUCCAAACAUUAAUUCAGAGGGAGACUUUAUAUUAUUUGGAGAAAGCGGCAUCCUGUUAAUCAUGUACGCUGCACAUUUCAUACAUUCAACCCAAAAGGCUCUAGGUAAAUUCUGGGCAUGAAGACAAUUCUUACAUGUCUCAGCUAAGUGUUAGGUCUUCUUUUCAGACACAUCAUUUUGUUGUGGCAUAUCAGCGCAUAUCAUCUCCCUUUUAAUUCCUUGCUGACGAUAAAAGGAAAGAAACGCAUCUGAUGUGAACUCACCGGCAUUAUCAGUUCGCAAUCGCCUUAUUCUGGAAUCGAGUUCACAUUUAACUGUUUCAUUGAACUCCACAUACUUACUGAAAACUUCGGACUUGUGCUUCACAAAAUAUACCCAAGUGAAUCUAGUAAAAAUCAAUGAAAAUUAGCAUAUAAGAAUAGCUUGAAAAUGAAAGAGUUCUCGUUGGCCCCUUCAAGUCACUGUGAAUAAGUUUUAGUGGGGAAUUACACCUUGACAAGGAUCUGUCAAAUGGAUGACGAUGUGCCUUUCCAUAUUAGCAUCCUUCAGAAACCUCUCCUCCACCAAUAUUUCUUAAGUUAGGCAAACCUUUUACUAGAUUCAACUUUAACAUGACUUUUAAUUUAUCCAUGCUUAGAUGUGCAAGUCUAGCAUGCCAAAGAUGUGUAUUAUCAUUACCGCUCAUCUUCUCAAUAUGUGAAUUAGAGGCAGAUAAGACAUAUAAAUUGUUAACUUCCUUACUUGAGUGAACAAUAUCUGCCUUGAGCACCUUGAUAUUUCGGAGGAACUUCACAUCAUGUGGGCCAAAUAGCAAAUAGUUUCCAGUAUCUACAACAUUUGCAACUAAAAAUAGAUUUUUCUUCAUUCCUGGAACAUGAAAGACACUGUUUAAGGUGAUAGUGUCUUUUUGCUUCUCGUUGAUCACAAUAGUGCGUUCCUUCUUAAGAGUAUGGACUGUAUUAUCUGCUGUAAUAAUGGCAUCACGUCCGUUUUGUUUGCGGAAGGUGGAGGAUUUGGAUUGAUCUCCAGUGAGAUGGUGCCCACAUCCUAGAUCCACGACCUCAUCGUUUUCAAAAUGUAUGGAAGUCGUGGCAUUUAUUGCUCGAGUCUCUGCUGCAAAGCACUUUCCCCAAUCUUCUUCUUUUUCUUCUUCUUUAGAAACUUUGUUGGUUUGAGCCAUAUUACUCUCUUUGGCUCAAUAAUAUCUUUUUAUAUGUCCGAAUUAGCUACAAUGGUAAUAUUUUAAAAGCUUUUUACCGUUACUGCAAGACUCCCCCUUCUUUCCUAGCGAGCUUGAACCACUUAAGGAUUGAAAGUACAUGCUAUCUCUCGAUUUCCCUUUAUACUUUCUUUUAUUGGCGACAAAAGCAUUUCCUUCCCCUUCUUUGAUAGAUACACCAACCAUCUUUUUGGCUAGUAGCUUUUGUCACGACAACAAAUUCUCAAAUUCUUCCAAAGAUAGUUGUUGAACCCAUCCUUGAAUUGAUGAACAAAUGGAAUAUAUUCUGACUUUAAACCACGAAUAAUGAUUUUUCUUAUUCGUGCUUCAGAGAUAGCCUGGUCCGGAUUCAAUAGUGAAAUUUUGGAACACAGAUUUUUAACCUUCAAGAAAUACUCGGCGAUAGAGAGAUUACCUUAAAUGGUGUUACUAACUCAUUCUACAAAAUCUGUAGCCGAGCUUCAUCCUUCUUGUUGAACAAUCGAUCGAAUAUCAUCCAUAUUUCAUAAGCUGAUUUACACCUUAUAAUAUGAUCAAAUAAAUUAGGAGGGAUAGACCUCUUUAGGAUAAAAUCCGCCUUAGUAUUAUUCUGCUUCCACUUCUUAUGCGCAUUGCUAUUUUUUGGUGCGACAGUAGGAGGACUUGUGUUACUCCCAUUGAUAACUUCCUACAAAUUUCCACCAACAAGGUAUGGCUUCGUACAAGUCUUUCAUACCUUGUGGUUGGACUGGUUAAAUAAUUCAAUCCCCAAUCUAUUAGCACAACUACGCGAAUCCAUUUAGAGAAACCAGUUGAAUCAAUCACUAACCCGACCUUGAAAUCCAGAAGCUGAUUUAUGGCUCUGAUACCCUGUAAAUAAUAGCAGAAUAAGAGUAUUAUUUGAAAAUCUUUUGCUAGCCCAAGAUUGUUAAUUAAGAUCGGAGGAGUCAACUAACGAGGAGGAAGCUUGAAACGAGAAGAGAGAUUUUUAAAAGGAGAACUUUGUUACUGAAGAAGACUUUCUUGAAUUUGGCCUCAUUACAAGUGAACAAGACACCCCCUUUUAUACUUGUCUAUGAAUGAUUCUAGAUAUGAUUCUGGUAAUGUACAAAGAAUAUUCUAGCUAACCUUGUCUUCUAACAACACUCUAGAAUAUCUAGAUAUGUCUACUAGAUAACAUUAUCUUACCACAACAUUCUAGAAUAUCUAGAUGGUCUAAUAGAUAAAUAUCAAGAAUAUUACACUAGGACAUUAUAGAGAAAUCUAUAUUUUUCCAAAAAUCAACUUUACUUUAUUUUUCUUACAGUAAUCUAUUCCAAAAAGAAUAUCAUAUUACAUUUUCAUUUUACUCACAGUGACACUCUAUUAUAGGAAUAACAUGUUUAAAAUCUAAGCCCAUAAUACAAUUCAAAAAUAUUGUUUAUAUUCUAAAUUUUAUUCCUAAUUAAAUUAAGACGAAUAAAAUGAAAUUGAGGAAAUACUUGAAACCAAUGAUAUCUCCCAAUAAAAAUAAAAGGAAUCAAUUAAAAAGAUUAAGUUCUACCAAAUCUUUACACGAACUUUGAUUAGUCCUGUGCUUGCACAUUAAUUCAACUUUAUGACUAUUGUAUCAUUCGACUUUGAUUUUUCUAGCACUAAAGAGUUUAACCUAAUAUAUUGAUAAUGUAAAAAAUGUAUAUUAUCAAGUCACUUUUAACUUGUAAUUUAUCAUGUUUAAUAAGUCACAAAUUUGUGUUUGUUACGGAAAGUUAUUUAUGUAUAUGUAAAAUUUCUUUGAUAAUCCAUGUUACCAUGUAUAUUAAUUAGUUAAUCUCAACAUCAAAUUGCUCAAUGAUUGUUAUUGCUAUUUUUCCAUUUGAUACCUAAAAAAUAUCAAUAUAGAGAUUAGGCAGAUGAGGCUGACAUUCUUAGAUUCCGCCACAUUAUGCCAUUGUUAUCAAAGGAAGAGAAAAGGAAAAUAAUGGUCUCUUCAUGGGAAUAGAAACCAAAAAUUAAAUUAACGUAUAUGGUCGACUUGUGUUUUGCUUUAGUUUCAAUUCAACUAUUUUCUGUGUUCAUAUUACUGUUUUUAUUUACAAUUUUACAGCAAAUAACACUAAAUUGAAAAAAAUUUGAUUAGAGUCAAUCUUUAUUUCUCUGACAAUAGUAAUGGCUCCCUUAUCUCAAUUUCAUGAGUGGAAAGAAUAAUAUCAAUAUUUAUCAAGAGCAAUAGUACCAAUUAAAUAUUCCAGUAUCAACAUGAAAACUUCUUUUCCUUACGCAGGAAGCUGAGCAUCUUUACUCUUUGGCUAUAGAAUAUGAAGACUUCAAGCUAUGCAGAGUAUUUACGUACAACACAUUUUCAACAUUGAGUUCAUGCAACAAACUCAUCUGAAGACCAGAAAAAUUUUAAAACAAAAGAAACUUGAAGUUGUGCUGGGUUUCCUUGACUUUAAAUAACCAAACAAUGGAUUGGCUAAAAGAACCUGAAAAUAUUAUAAUUAGGUAUGGGUCACGUAUCCGAUGAAAUAGUUAAGAUAUGCACAGACAUUGUGACGCCACUAAAAAGGAGAAAGAUAAAAAGAAACUUGGAAAAGUACGUUAUAAUUAGGCACUGGUUACGUAUCCGAUGAAAUAGUUGAGGUACGCACUGAUACUAUGAUAUCAGUUAUUGUUAUUGAUGAGUUCCCCUAUAAACUUCACUGUUACUGUUUUCUCGCAGAUAGUUCUCUCUUCUUUCCUCAUAUAAUAAAAGGAUAUGCACCUUCUUUAUAAAUUUAAACAGUUAAUGAAAAUUCACAGCACCUUGUAACUCCUCGUUGAUUUGCUUUAAUUUUCCCCUUUACUCGUUUAAGCUAGUUUACUUUUUUCUUUUUAUUCAAUUACUUAUUUACUUCCAUUAAGGGGACUCUAUGGUCUUAUGUUGUAUUGACUUUCAUUCAGGGGUCAGGGAAAUAUAUAUUUUCCUUCUUAUCUUCCAAUAGAACUGUUACUCCAUUUAAAGAGCGUGGUAUAGAAAGGGCAUUUAAUAUACACUCCCCACGUCACAACUUAUAUGAUACAAUUUGGAUUUUUGAGAGUCAAAUAAGUUGUUGACUUUAAUUUUUUUUGUCUUUUAAAUAUUUUAAUUUGUUAAUUAUUAUGUCUUAUAUUAUUAUUUAUCUAGUUUCUACAAGAUUUUAUGUCCGAAUUUACAAUCAAAUUGCGAAACUCUUAAAAAGUCGAACUUCAUCACAUAUUCUGGGAAGGAGGGAGUAUACUUUAGCGAUUGCAAUAUUUUGAUUUGUUUUGUAUUGUAAUUUGACAUUUUCACAUUUCUAUACACUAUAUAAAAUUAUAUUACCCUCUCUACUCAUAUUUUAUUAUAAUUGUAUUUUAUAUUAUUUAUGUACAUUUUAAAAAAAUUAAUAAUAAUUAAUAGUAUUCAAAAUAACUCUAUCGUAUCUUUCACUCCCCAUGUUUCUCUCCCUCCACCCUCCCACCCCCUAUCUUGCAGGCACUCACUGCAGUAGUAUGAUCUCUUCCCUAUUUGAAGGAGAAACUUUACGAUCUUUAUAAUCAAAUAAUUGUAAACUUUAUAACCUUUUGAAUUGAGUGUUAUUGCAAAGAAUUAGAAAUUUUUUCUACGUCUCUCUUUAUCUCUCGAUCUUAAUUUUGGUAUUGUAAAAUAACGGAAAAGAGAGCAGCAAUUCCAUCAUUGACAGUCAUUAAAAAGCUUUUAAGUUUUGAAUUUGAAUUUGGGUUUUCAAAAAUCAUUAUUGUUUGGAUAUGGUGGUGUUGUCCCAAACAAUUGGUGUCACACCUCCUUUUUAACACACUACCCAAAAGUGUAGUAUAUAAGGGAGUUUUUCCAAUUUAAGUAACAUUAUUUCGAAAUGG